RNAcentral lists this transfer RNA (67 nucleotides) under Cavia porcellus (domestic guinea pig). It matches the Rfam family "tRNA". Rfam says of the family: Transfer RNA (tRNA) molecules are approximately 80 nucleotides in length. Their secondary structure includes four short double-helical elements and three loops (D, anti-codon, and T loops). Further hydrogen bonds mediate the characteristic L-shaped molecular structure. tRNAs have two regions of fundamental functional importance: the anti-codon, which is responsible for specific mRNA codon recognition, and the 3' end, to which the tRNAs corresponding amino acid is attached (by aminoacyl-tRNA synthetases). tRNAs cope with the degeneracy of the genetic code in two manners: having more than one tRNA (with a specific anti-codon) for a particular amino acid; and 'wobble' base-pairing, i.e. permitting non-standard base-pairing at the 3rd anti-codon position. The record is from Rfam by way of RNAcentral. Lineage: Eukaryota; Metazoa; Chordata; Mammalia; Rodentia; Caviidae.
GGCUUAGCUCAGCAGUGUAAGCGCCUACCUGGCAAGCAGGAGGUCACGAGUUCAAUAUCUCGUGCCA